This 441-nucleotide ribosomal RNA is filed under the name uncultured bacterium. RNAcentral describes it as "partial 16S ribosomal RNA". It matches the Rfam family "Bacterial small subunit ribosomal RNA", at positions 338 to 795 of the family's 1533-position model. The record is from RNAcentral.
CCUACGGGAGGCUGCAGUGGGGAAUAUUGCACAAUGGGGGAAACCCUGAUGCAGCGACGCCGCGUGAGUGAAGAAGUAUUUCGGUAUGUAAAGCUCUAUCUGCAGGAACGAGACAAGACGGUACCUGACUAAGAAGCCCCGGCUAACUACGUGCCAGCAGCCGCGGUAAUACGUAGGGGGCAAGCGUUAUGCGGAAUCACUGGGUGUAACGGGAGCGUAGACGGCUGAGCAAGCCUGAAGGGAAAGGCGGGGGCCCAACCCCUGGACUGCUUUGGGAACUGUACGGCUGGAGUGCAGGAGAGGUAAGUGGAAUGCCUAGUGUAGCGGUGAAAUGCGUAGAUAUUAGGAGGAACACCAGUGGCGAAGGCGGCUUACUGGACUGUAACUGACGUUGAGGCUCGAAAGCGUGGGGAGCAAACAGGAUUAGAUACCCGGGUAGUC